AUAUCAUGGAGAGUUUGAUCCUGGCUCAGGACGAACGCUGGCGGCGUGCUUAACACAUGCAAGUCGAACGAGAAGAGAUGAGAAGCUUGCUUCUUAUCAAUUCGAGUGGCAAACGGGUGAGUAACGCGUAAGCAACCUGCCCUUCAGAUGGGGACAACAGCUGGAAACGGCUGCUAAUACCGAAUACGUUCUUUUUGUCGCAUGGCAGAGGGAAGAAAGGGAGGCUCUUCGGAGCUUUCGCUGAAGGAGGGGCUUGCGUCUGAUUAGCUAGUUGGAGGGGUAACGGCCCACCAAGG
This 296-nucleotide ribosomal RNA is filed under the name Megasphaera elsdenii. RNAcentral describes it as "16S rRNA. Bacterial SSU". It matches the Rfam family "Bacterial small subunit ribosomal RNA", at positions 1 to 273 of the family's 1533-position model. The record is from RNAcentral. Lineage: Bacteria; Bacillati; Bacillota; Negativicutes; Veillonellales; Veillonellaceae.